Molecule: ribosomal RNA, 403 nt
Filed under: uncultured Acetobacterium sp.
Lineage: Bacteria; Bacillati; Bacillota; Clostridia; Eubacteriales; Eubacteriaceae
Description: bacterial SSU rRNA
Rfam family: Bacterial small subunit ribosomal RNA
Source: RNAcentral
GGGGAAUAUUGCGCAAUGGGGGAAACCAUGACGCAGCAAUACCGCGUGAGUGAAGAAGGUUUUCGGAUCGUAAAGCUCUGUUAUUGGGGAAGAAAAAAUGACGGUACCCAAGAAGAAAAUCCCGGCUAACUACGUGCCAGCAGCAGCGGUAAUACGUAGGGGACAAGCGUUGUCCGGAUUUACUGGGCGUAAAGGGCACGCAGGCGGUUUUUUAAGUCAGAUGUGAAAGGUACCGGCUCAACCGGUAACAUGCAUUUGAAACUGAAAGACUUGAGUAUUGGAGAGGCAAGAGGAAUUCCUAGUGUAGCGGUGAAAUGCGUAGAUAUUAGGAGGAACACCAGUGGCGAAGGCGACUUUCUGGACUACAACUGACGCUGAGGCACGAAAGCGUGGGGAGCAAACA